This 233-nucleotide ribosomal RNA is filed under the name uncultured bacterium. RNAcentral's name for it is "partial 16S ribosomal RNA". It matches the Rfam family "Bacterial small subunit ribosomal RNA", at positions 524 to 753 of the family's 1533-position model. The record is from RNAcentral.
UACGUAGGGUGCAAGCGUUAAUCGGAAUUACUGGGCGUAAAGCGUGCGCAGGCGGUUUUGUAAGUCAGAUGUGAAAUCCCCGGGCUUAACCUGGGAACUGCGCUUGAAACUACAAGGCUAGAGUGUGGCAGAGGGGGGGUGGAAUUCCACGUGUAGCAGUGAAAUGCGUAGAGAUGUGGAGGAACACCGAUGGCGAAGGCAGCCCCCUGGGUUAACACCUGGACGCUCAGGCA